This 50-nucleotide small nucleolar RNA is filed under the name Pyrococcus horikoshii OT3. Its description in RNAcentral is "PHOsR8". The record is from RNAcentral. Lineage: Archaea; Methanobacteriati; Methanobacteriota; Thermococci; Thermococcales; Thermococcaceae.
AUGAUGAGCUCCAUCCCUACCUGAGUUGUGAUGAAUGUAGCGCGCUCUGA